AUGUCUCUCUCUGGGGUGCUGAAGCUGCUGGUGACCUCCACAUGGCUGGGAUCCAGCUUUGCCCAGAAAGUAACUCAAGUCCAGCCACCAGUGUCAGUGGAAGAGGCAGAGGCUGUGAUCCUGCACUGCACCUAUGACACCAGUGAAUCAAGAUACAGUCUCUUCUGGUAUAAGCAGCCCAGCAGUGGGGAGAUGGUCUUACUCAUUCGCCAGAACUCUUAUGACACACAGAAUGCAACAGAAGGUCGCUACUCCUCGCAUUUCCAGAAAGCACACAAGUCCAUCCACCUUAUCAUAUCAGCUUCUCAGCUUGAGGACUCAGCAGUGUAUUUCUGUGCACUGAGUGAGCCACAGUGUAAGGACUGUUGUGGGGAGAACAAAAACCCCCAGGUGUGCCUGAGGCAGCCACCUGCUGCAGAGGCCAAGGAAGAGAGCCACCACUUCCCACAGGAAAUAGCUAGGACUGAGGCAGCACAGGGUAGUGUUAGAGGGAGAUGCUUGCUGAGCAAGCCCCUCUCUGGGCUCAUGGCCGUAUCUACAGGCAUCAGUAAUUACGGACAUCCACAUCCAUGA
This is a non-coding RNA of Cavia porcellus (domestic guinea pig), 573 nucleotides long. The record is from the annotation of a RefSeq genome assembly. Lineage: Eukaryota; Metazoa; Chordata; Mammalia; Rodentia; Caviidae.